RNAcentral lists this ribosomal RNA (234 nucleotides) under uncultured bacterium. RNAcentral describes it as "partial 16S ribosomal RNA". It matches the Rfam family "Bacterial small subunit ribosomal RNA", at positions 103 to 334 of the family's 1533-position model. The record is from RNAcentral.
CCGGGUGAGUAACACGUGAUUAACCUACCUUCGAGUGGGGAAUAACUUCGGGAAACCGAAGCUAAUACCGCAUAACAUCCCAAGGACGAGAAGCCCAGGGAUCAAAGGAGCAAUUCGCUUGAAGAGGGGGUCGCGGCUGAUUAGCUAGUUGGCGGGGUAAUGGCCCACCAAGGCGAUGAUCAGUAGCCGGCCUGAGAGGGCGCACGGCCACACUGGAACUGAGACACGGUCCAG